AGAUCCCAAGCACCCACACAAGCUCCUAACUACACACUGAGCCACAUUAUCAAUAUAAACGAACUUAUGUUAAAACUAGUAACAAGAAAACUUCUCUUCACACCCCCGUGCGCCAGUUAUAGAAGACCUACUGGCAAUUAACAGACCAAACAACGCCAAAUAACAAACAAUGUUAAACAAACUGUCACACCAACACCGGAGUGCUACAAAGACCGAUUAAAAGCCGCAAAAGGAACUCAGCAAAACAUUGUCCCAACUGUUUACCAAAAACAUAGCCCCUGGCAACACAAGUAUCAGGGGUAUCGCCUGCCCAGUGAAAUUCUUUCAACGGCCGCGGUAUUCUAACCGUGCAAAGGUAGCGUAAUCAUUUGUCUUCUAAAUAAAGACCAGUAUGAACGGCUAAAUGAGGACAAACCUGUCUCCUGCGCCCAAUCAGUGAAACUGAUCUUCCAGUACAAAAGCUGGAAUCCCCACACAAGACGAGAAGACCCCGUGGAGCUUAAGACCAACUGCUAACAGCGCUCUGUCUGCCUAACACAAAGUCUUGAGUUGGGGCGACUUCGGAACAAAACAAAACUUCCGAGCACAGAACCAACAGUUCUCACCAAGGCCCACAAGCCAAAGAACAACAUGACCCAGUCAUACUGACCAACGGACCAAGUUACCCCGGGGAUAACAGCGCCAUCUUCUUCAAGAGCCCCUAUCGACAAGAAGGUUUACGACCUCGAUGUUGGAUCAGGACACCCCAAUGGUGUAGCCGCUAUUAAAGGUUCGUUUGUUCAACGAUUAACAGUCCUACGUGAUCUGAGUUC
RNAcentral lists this ribosomal RNA (812 nucleotides) under Tropidophorus guangxiensis hongjiangensis. RNAcentral describes it as "partial large subunit ribosomal RNA". It matches the Rfam family "Bacterial large subunit ribosomal RNA", at positions 1596 to 2612 of the family's 2925-position model. The record is from RNAcentral. Lineage: Eukaryota; Metazoa; Chordata; Lepidosauria; Squamata; Scincidae.